UUCCUACGGGGCGCAGCAGUUAGGAAUAUUCGUCAAUGGGGGAAACCCUGAACGAGCAAUGCCGCGUGAGUGAUGAAGGUCUUAAUGAUUGUAAAACUCUGUUGUGAAGGAAGAAUAGCCAUCAUAGGUAAUGAUGAUGGUGUGACGGUACUUCACCAGAAAGCUCCGGCUAACUAUGUGCCAGCAGCCGCGGUAAUACAUAGGGAGCAAGCGUUAUCCGGAUUUAUUGGGUGUAAAGGGUGCGUAGACGGGAAAUUAAGUUAGUUGUGAAAUCCCUCGGCUUAACUGAGGAACUGCAACUAAAA
RNAcentral lists this ribosomal RNA (305 nucleotides) under uncultured bacterium. RNAcentral describes it as "bacterial SSU rRNA". It matches the Rfam family "Bacterial small subunit ribosomal RNA", at positions 336 to 632 of the family's 1533-position model. The record is from RNAcentral.